RNAcentral lists this ribosomal RNA (290 nucleotides) under Staphylococcus aureus. RNAcentral's name for it is "partial 23S ribosomal RNA". It matches the Rfam family "Bacterial large subunit ribosomal RNA", at positions 513 to 806 of the family's 2925-position model. The record is from RNAcentral. Lineage: Bacteria; Bacillati; Bacillota; Bacilli; Caryophanales; Staphylococcaceae.
GGUGAAAAGCACCCCGGAAGGGGAGUGAAAUAGAACCUGAAACCGUGUGCUUACAAGUAGUCAGAGCCCGUUAAUGGGUGAUGGCGUGCCUUUUGUAGAAUGAACCGGCGAGUUACGAUUUGAUGCAAGGUUAAGCAGUAAAUGUGGAGCCGUAGCGAAAGCGAGUCUGAAUAGGGCGUUUAGUAUUUGGUCGUAGACCCGAAACCAGGUGAUCUACCCUUGGUCAGGUUGAAGUUCAGGUAACACUGAAUGGAGGACCGAACCGACUUACGUUGAAAAGUGAGCGGAUG